UAGCAGAUUUAAAAAAAAGGUAUAUAUGUCCGGCGCUCAAGGGCUAAUGUUACAAUGACUUGUCUUUGUGAGGUAGCAUAUGUUUUUCUAUUAUCGGUACGUUCUCCCAGCGAAUAAAUUUGAUAUACGUUCAGUCGUAUGUCCCUAAUUGUACACCGUAUGGCUACAAUGUUUUUUUUAUAAAAAAAUCAUGAACUAGUAUAGUGUAACCUUUACUUCAACAGGAAGGAGAGGAGAUCACUUAUGACGACGGCCCCUGCUGUCCGAGGUGCCAGCCAAUUCCUCCCACCUGCCAACUUCGAAACAAAACGGAGACCAUUAACUACGAGAACUGCCGCUCCACCUCCGAGCUCACAUACAGCUACUGCGCCGGCUCGUGCGGCGAGAGCAAGUCUAAGCCACAUCUGACUCUGUCGAACGGGGAUCCGCCUUCAACGGACAACGAAUGUAGUUGUUGCCAGGGUAUUCCCGGAGGAAACCAGGAGGUCGAAAUGCGUUGCGAGAACGCCGACGGAACUGUGGAAACAGUGGUCGCCUUCAUGCCGACGCUAACAGCAUGUCUAUGUGACAUGUGCGGGUAAAGCUCGUUCUACGUUUCCGGAAGUGACAUGAACAGCUCGUAGUGAAAAGAAAAUGAACGCAAAAGGAACAAUAUAUGUGUUAAACUUUUUAACUGUUGUUACUUGUGAAUGAAGAUUACCCUUUCGUUAAGUUUUUGUUUAUUAAUUCUAUGGAUAGUUAUGCACAUAAAUUUUACGCACUGAU
This is a long non-coding RNA of Mya arenaria, 765 nucleotides long. RefSeq lists it as uncharacterized. Lineage: Eukaryota; Metazoa; Mollusca; Bivalvia; Myida; Myidae. The record is from RefSeq and is a predicted model, not a curated record. The transcript has 2 exons.